RNA transcript from Cucumis sativus (cucumber), 4301 nucleotides. RefSeq lists it as hypothetical. The record is from RefSeq and is a predicted model, not a curated record. The transcript is spliced from 5 exons. NCBI's taxonomy places the organism in Eukaryota, Viridiplantae, Streptophyta, Magnoliopsida, Cucurbitales, Cucurbitaceae.
GUCAAAUUUCCAAUAAAAUCACUAAGAACAAAGAAGCGUUGUAAAAGAAAAGGAACGGUGGCGGCGUGGCCCAACGUCCUUCUUUACUCUUCCUCUCUCCCUGUUGUGCUUCCAAGCUUCAGUCUCCUCUCGCCGGUGCAUUGUACACCAUCUUCUUCAACUCCGGCAACCAAUCCAUUCGACGUUAGAAUUCUUUCUCGGCUAGUGAGUUUCAGUUUUUUAACGGCAGAAUUCUUUUACGAGGACCACACGCCGAUCUGCGACGGCAGCGGGAACUGUCUCGGUGAAUGCGAUGCGUUUCUUGGCUGACUAACGACCUUUGGCCGUGACCCACUCGUACGUCCUCAAAUUUGAUUACCCUUUGAGUAUCCUGAUUUGCUAGCAGGAAGGACUGGAGCCCUUUUUUGGUAAGAUGUCACUGAUGGAAGCAGCAAUGGCAUUUGAUCCAAUUUUAGAUUACUCCAAAACCCACCGAAUAAUCCUCCUUGUUGAUCUCAACCCACUUCUCCAUAUCCAAAGCCCAUCUUCAUAUCUCAUUGCCAUCACUUCCACUGCCAAAAUUCUACUAUCUUUUCUGCCAUUUUCAUCCUCAACUCUCUUCUCCUUCAGAUUCUUCUUCUCAUCUCUCUCCCCUCUCCUUUCCUCCUCCAAACUCCGCAAUUUGAUUCCCAGUUGCCCUCUCUCUCUCCCCUUUGACCACCCAACUGUGACUUUCGAUUCUCUCUCAAAUGCCAUUGAUUUAUUGUUGAAACUUCAUCAAUUUCCAUUGUGUGAGGCUUCUGAACUGAUGGCCUCACAGGCUUCAUGGCUUGCGGCGUCAAUGCGUCAACUUUUGCAUGACUAUACUUGGAACUCUGUGAUAGAAGAUUUGGAAUCGGCCUCUGAAAGUUUUGAUUGCCUUGGUGUGAGGAAAAAUUUGGUUGUUUUAUUUUCACCGUUUUCUGAAUUGGUUGGAUGUUUGCCUGAAUUUCUUGGAGUGGCUGUGGAUGAUGAAUGCGUUAAAGAUCAAGAUUUGUUUAGUAGAAGAUUCCAUGAGUUGUUUGAAGGUGUGAAUACUGCAUUUUCACAGAGCGAUAUUCAAUUUAGUUGGAUUAAUGUUAGCCACGAGUCUACUGAGAAUAGGAUGAAUAACGAUGAGCUGAAAGAGAAAUAUAGUUUUUUAAAGAGUGGUAUUAGAAAUUUAGGAUGGGGAUUUUGCUCGAUGAACUCCAUAGUUUUGGGAUCUGCUCUUCUUCCUUUUGGGUUGAUUUACCCUAAGAUAGGGUUACCUUUGAGAAAUCUUGACAUUUAUAAGUUUCAGAAGAAAGUACAAGCUCGAUUGUGCCUUGAGAUUUUGGAUAGAAGCGAGAAGCCACUAGAAUGCAAGUUUUGCAAUCUUGAAUUGUUUGAAUGGAAGACAUUGCCUGAAAACAGAUGUAAUGAUCGUUUGCUUGUACCAGGAGGAUUGAAAAUGAGAUCAGAUGGCUAUGUGCAAAGGAAAGUAUCUUUGGAAUUGCUUGGUGAUGGUGGUGUAAAGCUAAAUGUUAAGGCUGUGCAGAAGUGUAGGGAAUUAGUGAGUGACAAGGUUCAUUUAUCUUAUCCAUUUCUUGUGCUUGAAUCUUCAGAAACGCCGCUGAAGAUCAUCCAGGGAAGUAAUGGAAAAUUUUUUGCUGAUGAGGUUUUGGAAAUGAUGGCACUUGAACUGGAUGAGUGUAAAAUGCCAAAACCUAUUCCUUUUUUUGAGCUUCUAAUGAGUUUUCUUUAUGAGGAAGGUUAUUGGGCAUUAGUGUCUAUUUCGAAUGCCAAUGGUGGUUCACAUUUAGGAAUCUUAAAACCUUUUAUGGUUUCUUCAGCCCUUCUCUUUGUCAUUGACAAGGAAUUUUACCCUUUCAUGUUGGACCCUAAUAAUGAGGACAUGUGUUUGGAAGAAAUGGGGACUGCAGAAGGUAACAAUACUUGCAAACCUGGUGGUGAUUUGAACAAAUCAUGCAAUAUGGUUGAUUUUGAUGCUUCUCUUUCUGUUAAGUGUUCUCAAGAUGGAGAUGGUAAAAUGAAAGCAGUCAAGAAGUCUAGACAAUCAAUCCAAAACUUCACUUGGGCAGAUUUUUGCAAGGUAGCAUAUGAACACGGGAAGAUUGAUCUUGAAAAUGCUUACUUUGGCAGAUAUUGUAAUAGCUCAAAGAAAUUGAAAUUUUUCAAAAGCUGGGUAAAACAAAUUAGGAAAUCCACUUUAUGUGGGCUUUUGUUACCGGAGAAGUUGCAAUUAAAGCAGGACAGUCUCAUUAAAAAAGAUGAUGGAUUAGUACAGUUGCAAGAAGAAAGUAAAGAACCAGCAACAUCAUCGGGUCAAGAAAAUUCCUUGGCUAAGGCCUCUGAAACAUUGGCUGAAGCAACCAUUGACCACCAUUUGGAGACUUGUGAUGAUUUUUUCAAUAAUCUUUCCAAUAAGAUCCAGCAAGGACUCGAAUCCGAAGUUGUUGACUUGGGUGCUUUGGCGGAGCGACUUGUGAGUUCAGCUAUAUACUGGUUAAGUGAAAAGCAUGAAGUGCAAGGGGGAACAUCAGAUGAUCAACCAAUUGCCAGAAAGUUUGAUUCAAGUAUCAGUUGCUCAGUUGCUACAAAACUAAAUAAACUCUUGCUGAGGGAGCCUGAAGACUUGGCUACCAAGCCCAAGAUCCAUGGCCUCUCCUUUGAUGAGAGUAGUCUAGGAUCUGCUGGACAAACCUCAGAACACAUAGUUAGAGAACACGAAUUGCAGAUCUUUUUUCGAAUGGAGAUAUUACGGUCGCUGAUUAUUCUCAACAUUAGUGAAUCUAUGAAGCAAAAGUUUGUCAAAGAUAUUUGUUUGCUUUUAGAGACAAUUCAAUGCCAUUUGGAGGGAGGGUUUUUUGGAGACUGGAGCAUAAAAAAUUAUGUUGGAAAAAUCAUAAAGAGCAGGUACGGCCAAAGUCUUGGAGAGGUUGUGCAUAGGAUCUAUGAAAAAAUGGAUUUGUUAUUGUUUGUUGAUGAGAAUAAAUCUACCAAUCACCCUCUCUUCAGUGAGGAUAGCAAUAAUUCUUGGAGAGGCAACUUACUUAGUGAUGAAGUUGGUGACAACUAUAGCUCCAACGAUCCAGUUUCUGUAGAAAACAAAGCCCAUCAAAAUGACAAUGAAAAAUUUCCAGGGCUCAAUAAUGUCUACACUAGCAAACUGAUCAAAGCUCAAGAAAUGAGAGAAAGGGCCAGAAGAUUUGGAUCUUUCACGAGUUGGGCACCAGAUUUGCACCGAGUUUGGGCGCCAAAACAAACGAAGGCAAGGAAACCUAGGACGAAUCAUCUUAAAACAGCAUCAAAGAGGAAGUACUCAAAUAGGGAAAGCAAUGACCUGGUUUGUGAGACCCCAGAAAAAAGUCAGUCAUUCCAAAGAGAGAACCGAGAUGGUGAUGGAAAUCAGUCAUGUCGUUCUGUUUCCAAGGCGUUGUUUACUGACAUAGAUUCAUAGCUUUCAACAAUAAUCAGUUCAUCUGUAGAUUUACUUGUAACUCUCCUCUUGUAAAUAGUAAAUAGUGAAGUUCAACCAACCAACUUUGACGAAGCCGUGUAUUUGCUUGGACUCUUUACUUGAUCCAACUGGUUACAAUGGAGCAAAACAGGGAAGAAGAGUUAAAGACGUUUAAGAGCUUGGGAACAUGUGAGCAAUUGGUGGAGGCAUGCUGGAGUUCAGACUGGAAACCUCAUGGCGCAGAAGGUUCUUUCUACAGCUUGUACAUUUACUUAAUUCAUUUCUUCCAUUCAACUAUUCUUUUUAUUCAACCAGUGGCAAAGAUAAAUUUUGUUCUCAUUGCUUUUAAUAUUGGUGUUGAAUGAAAAUUACACAUCUUUCUGUAUAAAUAUUAGGUAAGGUUUCAAGAUGCACUCUGGCACUCAUUUAUGAAAAGGCACAAACAUUGAAGCAUUCCCAUUACUUUGACGUUUGUGUCUUUUAGCUACCGUGAAUAUAUUCAAGUUGACACAUGCACUCGCCUUGACAAGAAAUGUCAAAAGAAAGUUGAAUGAAGAGGAAGAAUAGAUGAAAAAGAAUGGUUGGAAGAGAAAAAAGAAUGGUUUGGCCUAUUGUGAGUCUUGGUCAUUGAACUUUCAAUUUUGUUAUAGGUAUGCAAUUUCGUUUUAUUUUUGCAACAGAUUCAGGCGAAUAUGAUUUUCUAAUUUGAAACACAGAAAUCAACAAUGACCAUUUCUUGUACCGAAGGUGUGUAGUGUGAAAUGUGUAAGAUCUCAAGGUCUUCGUUUCCCUUAGUUUCAUCAAAUUUGCAUAACAUAGUCCCUUGUGGGAUUUGACCCAA